Molecule: ribosomal RNA, 464 nt
Filed under: uncultured bacterium
Lineage: Bacteria
Description: partial 16S ribosomal RNA
Rfam family: Bacterial small subunit ribosomal RNA
Source: RNAcentral
CUACGGGUUGCUCCAGUGGGGAAUAUUGGACAAUGAGGGAAACCUUGAUCCAGCAAUACCGCGUGUGUGAAGAAGGCCUGCGGGUUGUAAAGCACUUUCAGUAGGGAGGAAGAGCUGAUAAUGAAAAGUUAUCGGAAGAGACGUUACCUACAGAAGAAGCACCGGCUAACUCUGUGCCAGCAGCCGCGGUAAUACAGAGGGUGCGAGCGUUAAUCGGAAUGACUGGGCGUAAAGAGCACGUAGGCGGUUAGAUAAGUUGGAUGUGAAAUACCUGGGCUCAACCUAGGAAGUGCAUUCAAAACUGUGUAACUAGAGUUUGGUAGAGGAGAGUGGAAUUUCCGGAGUAGCGGUGAAAUGCGUAGAUAUCGGAAGGAACACCAGUGGCGAAGGCGACUCUCUGGACCAAAACUGACGCUAAAGAGCGAAGGCGUGGGGAGCAAACAGGAUUAGAUACCCUGGUAGUC